GCUAAUGAUCGUGUCUAUUGGUUUUUAUUUAUUAACUUGUAAGUCAUUAAAUGUGACAUAAAAGAGACUCGUAACAAUGCAAUUUCUUAUGAAUGUACAAGUAAAGGGAGUGCCAAUUUUAUACCAGAAGAAUUGCAGUCUCUUCGACAUUAUGAGUUUAUUUCAUUUGAAUAUAAGGAAAAUGCAGUUGCUCUGGCAGAAAUGCAUCCAAAAUGGAUAUUAAAACUCUGCAAAGGAAAGGCUGCAGCCAUUUGAAAAGCAAGAAAAUGCUGCGUGGGUGAAAAGAAUACGUGAUGCGAGGCAGAACAGUGAUAGAUAAAUGGAACUACAUAUGAAACGCAGACCUUCCAAAAGUUCCAAGAAGUUAGACAGAGGCUUGAGCAGGUACAAUUUUAUAAAAUAUGUUUAUUACAGAAUUAGAGAUUUAUCAAAUUACAUUACCAUUUGUUUUCAGGUCACAACUCGAACUUUGCAGCCGUGGGCGAUGAUAAUGUCUUUCCCACUGUUAACUGAAGAAUACAAAUUCUCUGCCAGCCUUCGUUGGGUCAACAGAUUCAAACAAAAGUAUAAUAUAAGGCAGAGAAAUAUAA
Molecule: long non-coding RNA, 590 nt
Filed under: Androctonus crassicauda
Lineage: Eukaryota; Metazoa; Arthropoda; Arachnida; Scorpiones; Buthidae
Source: RNAcentral